GAUGAACGCUAGCGGCAGGCCUAACACAUGCAAGUCGAGGGAGAAGCCCUUCUGGGGGUAGUAACCGGCGCACGGGUGCGUAACGCGCAUGCAACUUACCCUUCACUGGGGGAUAGCCCGAUGAAAUUUGGAUUAAUACCCCAUAAUAUUGUUGGCUGGCAUCAUUUGGCAAUUAAAACUGCGGUGGUGACAGAUGGGCAUGCGUCCUAUUAGCUAGUUGGAGUGGUAACGGCACCCCAAGGCUACGAUAGGUAGGGGUCCUGAGAGGGAGAUCCCCCACACUGGGACUGAGGCAGCGACCAGACUCCUACGGGGGGCAGGAGUGAGGAAUAUUGGUCAAUGGUCGGGAGGCUGAACCAGGCAUGCCGCGUGCAGGAAGAAUGCCUUAUGGGUUGUAAACUGCUUUUAUAUGGGAAGAAGAAGGCGUACGUGUACGUUGAUGACGGUACCAGAAGAAUAAGCAUCGGCUAACUCCGUG
Molecule: ribosomal RNA, 478 nt
Filed under: uncultured bacterium
Lineage: Bacteria
Description: partial 16S ribosomal RNA
Rfam family: Bacterial small subunit ribosomal RNA
Source: RNAcentral